This 197-nucleotide ribosomal RNA is filed under the name uncultured bacterium. RNAcentral describes it as "partial 16S ribosomal RNA". It matches the Rfam family "Bacterial small subunit ribosomal RNA", at positions 328 to 539 of the family's 1533-position model. The record is from RNAcentral.
ACGCUCGACACCUACGGAGGCAGCAGUGGGGAAUAUUGCACAAUGGGGGGAACCCUGAUGCAGCGACGCCGCGUGAGGGAAGAAGGUUUUCGGAUUGUAAACCUCUGUCCUUGGUGACGAUAAUGACGGUAGCCAAGGAGGAAGCCACGGCUAACUACGUUCCAGCAGCCGCGGUAAUCUGAGCGGGCUGGCAAGGC